UUAAGCUGGCAGAAAGGAGGAUAUAUUUCAUCACGUGUUGGGUUCAUGAGCAGCCAGAGGAAGCAUGGUUUUCUUUAGCGGCCAUUGUAAGAGCAGAAAAGACAUCAGCCAUGGAAUUUCAACAGAGCAAUAAAUCUGAAAAUUUGAACAAUAAGGCAGAGGUCAAAGGCAAAAGUUUAAUUCAAGAGUUUUAAUAAUUUACGUAAACCGCUACCCCUUAUUGUUGACCAUAUUUAUUUUAGUCUUAUAGAAUAUAUGGAGACUGAAAAUGGUUGUUCUCAAAGCAGUUGUAAAUGUAUUUUUACAUAUAGAAAUCCUUAUUGACGAGAUAUUCAGUCUGGGUUGUGUACCUGAGAAGUUAUUAGACUAGGAGGGGUCCUGGAGUUCUUGCAGUGGCAAGAAAGUUAAGUUUCAAACUAGGUGAAUUGAUAAUCUAUUUACAUUUAACGAAAUAUCAGAACGUAAUUAUUCGCAAACUGUUGAUCUAAUUGAUUAAAUUUGCUUGUUAUAUGAUUUAAUAUUAACUUUGUCGGUGAUUAAUUACUUAAAUUAUGUUAGUAUUAUUUAGUGAAAAAGUUUAAAUGGGCUGAUUGAUCUCAGUGAGGGUAGUCAAUAUUUUGGGGUCCUAAUAAAGUUUUGUAAGAAAGUCUAGCAUUAUAUUAUUAGAUUUUUUUUUUUCAUUUAAAAUGUGGAUUUCUUGUUGAAUAUCAGGAUGAGGUCAUGUUGAAUGGGUUAAGAUGUAAUUUUUAUGAAUUUAAUUAGUCCCCUAAAAAAAUGAAUUUAAUUAGUGGAACUGUUACCAAAGUGGCCACACCAAUGAUCAUUGUAUGUGAUUCAACGUCAGAAUCAGAGUAUUUAAUCAAAUUAGUUCUGUUAGACUGUUACAGCAGCUAGUGUGUUAGGGUGAUGAAUCGGCAAGGGUCAUUCGCAGGUUUUAAAGCGCAUGCAACAACAAUCUCCUACCUUGAGUCCUUUUUCCUAUUCUCCUUUAGAAAGUGAAAGAUAAGGUUUAUUGGAACCAAAGAUGUAAAAUGGUACUUAUUAAACUGUGUUAAUGGCGUUUACUAUUAUGGAAAAGUGGAGUGACCUCUCUUAAUCACGAGAAGAUGUUGUCCGUUUAAUAAGUUUUUUGUCCAAGAAAAAACUCACAGUAGGUAUUGCUAAGAAAAAACGAGAGAGAGAGAGGGAGAUGAUCAAACUCAUGUACUCAAAAAAUGUGUUUUACAGCGUAAUUAAUUGAUUUGAUUUGAUGAAAUGAUAAUAUUAUUCUUAAUUUUUUUAUUGAAUUGACAUCACUUGUAUGUAUUCUUACAAAUCCUCUCAUUUCCAUUGGCCAAUAUCGCAGAAUCUAAAAUCGAAGACACAAAAUCCAGCAUCUAGAUUGAAUGAUUGUGAUGAUAACUAUCAUAAUUUGAAUAUAUACGAUAAUCUCGAGAUCUCACAUCAACCUAAAAAGUAAGUAACGAAUAAAAUAGGCUUAUUCUCUAGCAAAAGGAUUCCACUAAUGAAGAAGUGAUCAUAGAGCUAUGUCAGUAACUUUGUUUCCACAGCGAUAGACUUCUUUGUAUGUUUAUUUUUUUUUUUUGGAGGGCAUUUGUAAAUCAAAGUUGCCCGCUACACUUUGUGCAAAUAAUUGCCCCACUAUUAAUAUUAAAAUUGCACUAAAGAGUAGAAAAACUGCAAAAGUGUCUGAAAAUUACCACUUCUCUGUGUAGUGUCCAUAUAUAUAUGAUAACGUUCACUUACAAAAUUUUGUUUUACUUUUCACUUUUCAGUGACUAUUAAAAUUGUUCCACUAUUAAAAAUGCACUAUAAUUUAUAAAGCGUAAAAAGUGUUUAAAAAAAAACUGUAUAGAAACGAAAAUGAGGGAGGUUCCGUCUCCUCCUUUUAAAAAAAAAUAUUUUUUAAUAUAAUAAUAUAUGAAAUUAUUAUUUAUUUAUUUGUUAGUUAAUUCACACAAUUUAUUUAUAUAAUCUUAUUUUUCAAUUUUAAAAGUCAUAUCUUUAUUAAUUUAAUUUAAUACAAUAAAUAAAACUUUAUUCUAGACAAUACAAAUAUUUUUUUAUCAUACGUUAUUCUUAAUUAUUUAAUAAUGGUGGUGUUUUUGUUUAUAUUUUAAAAUUUACUAAAAAAGCAUGUAAAAUACAUUGAAAUCUUACUCGUGUGUUAAAAUUUGUUUCAUUUCAGUUCAGCUAUUCAUUUUUGGACUCGUGUGCCAGUGUAGAUGAUCCACCACCAAGAUGGUGUGUGUGGCAUGUGUAACGUUGUUACUUUAAUUAUGUAGUUUAAUUUCUGAUUUAUUUGUAUGAAAAAAAUUUAUUGAAAGAGAUUAAUUUUUUAAAUGAAUAUCCUUAUUUUAAAAGGGAUUAAUAAUUGAAUAUCCCAAAAACAGAAGAGAGAAGCACCCGUUUGAACUGACAUUAAUCUUUAAAUAAGAUCGGGCCUGUUGAGGGAUGGGUUGAGCCCAAGAAGAAAUGGGUACCUUAAGUCACUCUUGGGUGACGCUAGGUGUACCAGCUCCAUUGCUUGUGCACCCAGUAUUUUUUUUAAUUCCAAAAUUACUCUACGUUAGGUAUGUGAAUUCGUGGUUGAUCGUAUAAUUUAUACGGAUGAACUUGAUUCGUGAAUAUAAUUUAAACAUACGUAUCAAGUUGAUCUGUAUGAUUUGGACGAACACUUGAUUUGUAUGAGUCAUACGAAUCAAAUUCAUUUGUACAAAUCAUACAUGAUUUGUAUACAAAUCAACAUGAUUCAUAUGAGUAUUGAUCCGUAUGAGUCAUAUGAAUCAACUUGAUCCAUAUGAGUCAUACGAAUGAACUUAAUUCGUAUGAUUCAUAAGGAUCAACAUGAAUGAUACGGAUCAACAUGAUCCAUAUAAAUCAUACGAAUCAACUUGAAUGAAGGAUAUUUUCGCCAUUUACUUAAAAUGUUGGGUGCACUAGCAAUACAUCACCCGUCACUCUUUGGUCAUCCUCAAGCGUUGGGAUUCUUAACCCUUCUUUCUUUAAGAAUCCUCAUUCCAGAAAUUGCAUUGCAGAGGAAAGACCGAGAAAAAAAAAGAAGGAAUUUUGAUGGUAAACUAAUAUUUCUAAUAUCAGAAUUCGAAAGAAGGAAAGAAGAAUGGGAGGUUCAUCGGAAACGAAGCUUAUGCAAGACCUGUUGUUGUACGCGGCGAGCGCGGCGCUAAGUUGCUUGGUGUUGUUCGCCGGACUGAGACACCUGGACCCUAAUCGCGAAUCGUCGAAGAAGGCUCUCGAGCAUAAGAAAGAGAUUGCAAAGCGUCUCGGUCGCCCCCUCAUUCAGACUAACCCUUACGAGGUUUUUAUCCAUUGCUCUGUUCUUUUUUAAUUUUUAGGUUCGAAUUCGAAUGAUUCUAUAAUCGGUGGAAUAAUGUGCUUUUGAGUAGCUAAGCUCUAAUGUUGACCUUCAAUUUAACUUCUGGAAGAUAAAGUUUGGUUGUUUUUUUAUGUACAUCGUGUACCUUCAAUUUAUCAUGUUUCUCUUAUAUUCUGUAAUCAAUGGAAUUUUGGCCAGUUGUAUUCUUGAAAGAGAUUGUUCAAUUCCUUAUGCAUUAAUCUAUUAUGAUUUCCUAAUUUUGGCCAACUUCUUUGUUUAAUUAUGAAAUUAAUUUAAACCCAGAAUUCUAUCCAAAUAAUCAUACAAAUGAAGGACUAGAUCCAUUUACAUAUCCUCUAUAGAUAUACAUGGCCUUACUUUAUUUUAACUGUUAAAAAUAUUGGACCAUAGUUAAGUAUUAUCUUUUAUUGUGUGCCAGGAUGUAAUAGCCUGUGACAUUAUAAAUCCUGAUCACAUUGAUGUGGAGUUCAACUCUAUCGGGGGACUGGAGACAAUCAAGCAAGCUUUGUUUGAGCUUGUUAUUCUGCCUCUAAAAAGACCAGACUUGUUUUCGCACGGUAAGCUUCUUGGACCACAAAAGGGGGUCCUGUUGUAUGGACCGCCCGGCACUGGAAAAACCAUGCUUGCCAAAGCUAUUGCCAAGGAGUCAGGAGCAGUUUUUAUUAACGUGAGAAUAUCGAACUUGAUGAGCAAGUGGUUUGGGGAUGCCCAAAAGCUUGGUAAGAGCACAAUAUAUUUAUGGCUACUUUUACAAUACACUGUAAAGCUAUACUCUACUGUCUACAAUACUUAGUAUGGAUUAUAUAAUUAUCUUGGUUCAAUAGAUUAAAUUAUCUUAUUCUCAUGUUUUGAUCGUUUCUUUUUCACAAGGUCAGCAUGUAUACACAAAGAUUCGAUAAUCUGUUCAUCAUCACUUUGCAUAUACAUAAAAGCUUGGCAAUCUGACUAUUUAAAUCAUUGUACAUAAUUCGUUAGUAGUAUUGAUGAUAAUGAAGAGCUUAGAAGAGCUUGAAGUUUAAGCAUCUUGUUUUAGUAAACUAAUCUUUGACGAUAAAUGAUGGGGAUCUUUGGUGAAGAAGUAGUGUAAGUUAUUUUACUAGUAAAAAGUAGUAACAAAUCAAGAGUAAUUAAAUAAUACAAAAGUCAAAGACUCAAAUGGGCCUCCUCUUUUUCCAGCACUGUUAUUUUUUUGAAAAGUUAAUCUUUUUUACCCGUGGUUCUUGAGAAUUCCGAUGUAAAAGUAUCUAGAAAGUACUCUUUUUGGCAGCAAACCCUAUAUUGGAUGAAGUUAUCAAUCCGUAUAUAGUAAGUUUGAUUACUCACACUUAAACAUGACUUUUAGGAUCUUCUCUUUUUUCUCAUUAAAUUACAUGGUUUUCUUCUAUACUCAAAUUUUAGGGCUUGUUCAUGUUGAGGAAGUGCUUUCUGUUUUAAUUCUUUUUCACUUUUAAUUACAAAAAUGUCACCUUAUUUUCACUUUGUCUUUGUUUUAAAAGAAAUGUAUAAAACAACUUGUUAUUGUUUUCAUUGUUUCUUAUACAAUUUGAAAAUAGGAAACAAAUUGAAAACAUAUUUUACUAGUGACAUUUUUGUAAUUAGAAGUAAGCAUUUUCUUAAACCAAACGGCUCAUUUUUCUUCUUCUCAAACACUAUUACUUAUAUUAGUCAAUCCCAGUUUGAAUUUUAAAUUUUGAAUUUUGACAGAGGUUACGUGUGUUGAUCGAUUCAAAUACACUUUAUGUUCUACAAUUUCCUUCUUGAUUUCAGAAGUCUUAUCUCUUUAAUUUAUUCUCAUGUAAUAAGAUAGAAUCCUGGACAAUGAAGACACAUCCUAUCAUACUUCCUUCUUUCUAAGUACACUUUGUCUGAUAUUUUAAUUCUUAUAUAUUCUUGUUUUUAUUUAUAGUUUCAAAUUCCACAAAUUUAAAAAUACCCGUGCAAUGUAUGGAACUUAUUAAUAUGAUGGAUUUUUGCUGUCAAAUUCAGCAUGGUGAAUCUUAUUGAUUUGUUGUUUUUAUGGAUGAAGCUUUAUGAAUAUCUUGUAAGAUGAUAUAUGUAAUCUGAUUUGUUUGAAUUCAAAUAUAUGUGGAUUGUUAAUGUCUGUAUAUAUAUAUAUAUGUUUGUGUUUAUUAAAUUAUUUGACCUAUAUUGUGGUGUAUGUCUUUUAAUUAUGAGAAUUUGAACAUCAAUGAUUUUCAUUUUAAAUUGAAAACUACUUUGAUUUUAAACUUGGUAUUAAUUUCUCUAGAUUUUUGUGUGUAUGUUUAUUAAAUUCUUUGACAAAUAUUGUGGUGUAUGUCUUAUAAUUAUCAGAAUUUGUUGUAAUGUGGUAUUCAUACAGUAUUCUACCCAUGUCCCACACUGGUAUUAAUGUUUUCUGCUAUAAAAUUGAAUGGUCUUUAAACAAUGAGACAUACUGUUCGGCAAAGUUAUCUUUUCAAUCCAUUUAAAUUGGAACGUGUCUUGUGAAUGAAUAUAACACAACUGUCCUAGUUUAUGGGCUUGAGAUUUAGCUAUGUAUUGGAACAUAAGCAUUUGAACUUGAUAAUAUACUUGUUAAGGUAUGGAAGGCUUUAGGAGAGAUAGGCAUUAGGGGUGGCUCACAAAGUUGUUUAAUGAAAUUAUGAGGUCUAAGAUCAUGCUGGACCUGGAUUCGGACUGAAAAAAAGUUAUGCUGAACAAGUGGAGCAGUAAUUUUUUCCCUAUCUAUAAAACAAGUUGGCUUAUUAAGCUGCAGAAAUCAUGUGAUUAAGUUCAUGAUCCAUACUAUGAAGCUACGACGAAUGGUAUUUGGCUGGAGAUUAAGGCAAGAGACUCACAUUACAGAAAAUUAAUUCUGUCAUCGUUUCCUCAAUUGGCACUACACCAAUAUCUCCUUGUACAUAAUCAUUCUCAUCUGGCUAAAAUAAUUCACCAAACCUAAAGUACCACUCUAGCUUACGAUAAAAUUUUACCAUGUAGUUAUAGGACUUGUGAUGUUGUAUGGGACUAAAUGUUGGGUGUUGGCAUGUAUUGAACCGACAAAGGAAAAAAAAAUUCAGCUAAUAGUUAGAGCUAGGUGUAGAAAAAUUGCAGGCCAAUAGGACCCUAUGGCAUCAUUUGAUUUUCAUGUAGCCGACGCUGCUAGUAAAAGGCUGUUGUGUCUUAUGAAGAAUAUGUCGGUGAAACAUGUGACUGCAUCUUUGAUAGUGGCCCGAUAUUAGUUUUUUCCUUUCUUUCCUAUUCCUAAUAGCUUUGUUUGACAUUCAUGCAGUUUAUACUGUGGACUGUGGAUGUUCUUUUGAACUGAUGUUUCAACCUUUUUCAUGGAUAAGGUUCUGUCUUCAUCUAACGGCAGUCUGUUGAUAGUGGCCUUACAUUGGAAUAAUUAGCCGUAGCUGAUAGAAAAUCAAAUAUCAUUUUUAAGUAGAAAGGAAGCCCCCUGCCUCCACCUAUUUAAGGCCAUCUGACAAUGUUUUGCAUCUGCUAAAUGCUUAUGAUUGGUCAGGAAUGAACCGUUAUUCUGAAAAAAGUUAAUAUAGUAACUGAUUUUUUAAAUAAAAUGGUUAGUUCUUAAUCACUUUCAGUUUUCGAAUGAGUGAAAUAAUUAAUUACCCUAUAUGUUGUUGCUGGGUGAAUUUUCCAUCCUUGCAUUCUCUUUCCCUUGGGGAGUGGAUAGUGAUUAGUGAUAGGCAACCCCUGUAUAUGUAACUAUGCUUUCAUUUUCCAAACCCUGCCUAUGUAAUUAUAUGAUGUAAAUUUGUAUCUAAUUUUGAAUGUGCUUAAUUAUGUUUUAUGUUCUUUUUCUUUGUUUGAAGUGUGGUUUUUUUUUUUUAUUCUACUAUUAAUAUUCUGCUGUUCUGCAGUUGCUGCUGUAUUUAGCUUGGCUUAUAAGCUUCAGCCUGCCAUCAUAUUCAUUGAUGAAGUAGACAGUUUUUUGGGUCAGCGUCGUACAACAGAUCACGAGGCUUUGUUAAACAUGAAAACUGAAUUCAUGGCUCUGUGGGAUGGAUUUACAACAGAUCGUAAGUUUAAACCAGUUAUCAUAUUAUUUUAUUUCAUUGCAUAAAUAUUCAAAAUAAGUUGCAAAUAAGAUAAUGACAAUUUUGAUAGAGAUUUGGUUGGUAACAUAAUGUUUUCAAUUUAUUUAUAUUUGAGUAGAUUUGUUGAUUGGGGUGACUUAUUGUGUGUGUUUGUGUGUAGAGAAUGCUCAAGUUAUGGUCCUUGCAGCAACUAAUCGUCCUUCAGAACUUGAUGAAGCAAUUCUUCGGCGUCUUCCUCAAGCCUUUGAAAUUGGAGUUCCAGACCAAAGGGAGAGGACUGAAAUAUUGAAAGUUGUCUUAAAGGGUGAGAGGGUUGAAGACAACAUAGACUUUGGUCAUAUAGCUGGCUUGUGUGAGGGUUACACUGGUUCAGAUCUAUUUGAUCUAUGCAAGAAAGCUGCCUAUUUUCCUAUUAGAGAACUUCUGGAUGAAGAAAAGAAAGGAAAACGAUCUCCUGUUAGUAUAUUUAAGUCAUUCUCUUCUAUUUUCUUCUGUCUCAAUUUUUUCAUUUUCCCAAUAACUAUGUUACCUACUGCUGAGUUGACUAGAAUUCCAUAUCAAUUUCAGUUUCUGUUAACUAGAAAGGAACAAAUCAAUUGAGCAUGUCUAUUUUAUAUAAAACCAUUGUAUGCACCCAAGGUUAUAUUUGCAUGCCUUAAAGUGACAUCUUUGGUCAAUGAAAGCUAUUACUUAAUGUGCAAGAUCAAUUUGUGGCUGUGUUAGAUAUGAUUUCAUUAUUAAGUCUUUUUAAAGAAACUGAUUAAUAGUCUUCUCCGUGGCUUUCUCAUAUAGUAAGUGCUACUAUGCUGUUUGGUCUAUCUUUCACAUUUCAGGCACCUAGACCUUUGUCCCAGUUAGAUUUGGAGAAGGCCCUUGCUACUUCACAGAAGACAAACGUUGCUGCUAGUGAAUACAGUGGAUUCAGCCUUCAGUCACCUUCAAGAUGGACAGUGCCUGGUGAGUCAGGUGAUUCUCAGUUUCAAGCUGCAAUCCAUGAAGUCUCUAAGCUUGUGGUUUCUCACAUGAUUAACCUCCAAUCGGAUUCUCAGGAUCCUUAAAAUGCUUGCUUUCUUUUGACCAUUAUUCUACUGUCAUUUAGCCUAGUUCAGAUUGUAACAGUGAUUGCUUAGUUAUUAUACUAAUUAUAGGAACAUAUAUUUAUUAUACAUUGGUUAUAAAAGUGUCAUUGUUGGCUAUUGCAUUAUGUUCAGUCGAUGCAUCAUUUCUGAUAUUCCAUUUAUGGCAAAUUUUGUCUCUGAUUACUACUUGGGUAAUGCAGAGAUAAUUUUGUAAUUGUGUUGUUCCACCCUCUAUAUUGUACUGUGAUAUAAUGCUGUAAAAUGACAAAACGGUAGCUAAUGUCUAUUUCAGGUGUCAGAUACAUCCACAUUCAUUGACAUUGCAUAAUACUAACCGAACUUAUACAAAACAAGGGAUUAAUAAAAUCCUUCUGCCCCAAUUUGUUAGGUGGAUUCAAGAUCGAAUUACGCAUUCUAUUCUGUUUUGUUUAGCUUGAGGAAAAGGGAAAAACAUGUCAUUAUUUGAAUCAGCACUAAAUUACUUUUACUUCAAGUCCUAUUGAUACUAACAUAAGCUCAGAUUCAUGUGUUCUGUUAUGUGAUUUAAUCUAUGAUUAAUUGGAUCUAACACUAACAUGCCCAACAACUUUAACAGAGUAAGCUUAAGACAGAUCAAGAUGAUGCAGUGUGUGUCGAGUUGCCAACAACCAUCAAUUAUUGAGGCCUCGGAGAAAUAACUGGCAUUGGAGUGGGUUCGGCGGGGUUAUAAUUUUAAGCAGUGGGUCAGUUAUCAUCCUUGUGUUUUUGUUGUCUUUAUGGUCCACCCGCAUAUGCUGAUGAUUAACUCAAACCCUUGAAAGUUGCGAGUUCUUCCCAUUACAUUCAUUCAUUAUGUAGUAGGACCACAAAUUUGUACUUUUCCCUCUCAAAACAUAAUUUCUACAGUGAAGCAGGACCACUACNNNNNNNNNNNNNNNNNNNNNNNNNNNNNNNNNNNNNNNNNNNNNNNNNNNNNNNNNNNNNNNNNNNNNNNNNNNNNNNNNNNNNNNNNNNNNNNNNNNNGGGGGGGGGGGGGGGGAAACUAGUGUUAAAUAUCGAAUAAACUUAAGAUAACGGAGUAAUUAAAUAUCAAAACGAGGUAUCUUAGGAGAUUAAUUUUUAACUUUCGGAUAAGGGAUACCUAGAUUUACCAAAAAAACCCGAAUAAAUUUAAGAAAACAGUAAUUAAAUGUAAUUAAAUGUGUUGUACUUGUCACAAUCCGAUAGGGAAAAUUCUCUUUCUUUUCACAGAUUUAGGCUUUUGGAAAUGAAAGUGGCUAUUCUGUUUGGAAAUAUCCCCGUCCUUGUCGAAGACCUGGGAGUCUUGUGGAGAGAAACACCCUUACAGAUUAUUGGACACGAAUGGAAAAUAAUAUAGUACUGAAAGAGGCAUGACAACUCUGUAUUUCUUCACCGAUAUGACACUCUAGUUUAUGGGAAUUUUCGAUCUUUUAAUGGCUACAACCAUUUUAUAGGUUUUAAUUUUUCAGGUAACAAAACUCGUGAUGCUGACCCAUUAUAUAUGGAGUCGUUAUUGAUCCAAACAUGCAGUUGUCCCUAUUGUUAAUGCCAUAUCCUCGUCUUACAAAAGUAAGUGUUCCACAAAAAUGAAUUAAAUGGUUUUCAAGGGGUCAAAUCGUUACAGCGAUAGUCAUUUGUUAAAACUCCUGGCGGAUUCGUCCAGGUUGCACCAAAUUUAUUUAUCUACCAAAAAAAAAUUCUUAUCUUUUUAGGUUUUAAAAAGAUGUGGAACUAUUAUAAUCACAGCGUAACUUUGAUCAAAUGAUUCCAUCAAAAAUUACAUUUCGAUUUAACAUUUUGUAGUAAUUUUUUUAUUUGUUCAGUGAAGAACGGAGCACAUCGGUAUUGCAACAAGCUUUGAGUGGCUGGGAAGACUUCAGUAGGUUGCAAGUUGCAACUAUGCAACUUCCUGAGCAAAGUGAUUGCCUAUGGUUGUGUCAGGAAGAAAUUUUGUAGUUUGCUUGUUCCUUUUUUUUUUCCCCGCACGACUAAGGCCAUGUUUGUAUCUUCGUUGACACUGUGGUAGCUUGAAUUCCAAUACAUUUUCAACACAUAAUAAUAAAGGAAAUGUUUUUACAGAAGUAUGUUGGGCUGUUGGAGGCAACUCAAAAUUAACACAGACAUGCACUACAUGGCUUUAGUUGUCAUAAUAAUUUAAUAAAUAUGUUGUUUGAAUUUACUAUGUCCUUUAACUGGUUAAUGAGAAAGGAAAAUAGUGAUAUUGAUAAGUAAACGACCAACUAGUUAUAUGCCAUCCAUAGAAUUGGGCUAUUGCUAUAAUCAAUUAUAGUUGUUGGCGAUUGAAUGUUUAAAAACUAUUUUUUCCUGACUAGCCAACCUUCAAAAUCAAAGGAGACAAUUAAACUUACCUUUGAAUGCAAUUUUAUAUAAUGUUUUUCUUUAAUUAUUCUCCUCACAUUACCUUUGAUUCUGGACGAAUUCUAUACUUGUAAGAGUUUAUUAAUUGUGGUGGCAAAUCAUCAUGGUCCAAUGGGUAUCAUGAAAUAAACGAUUCUAUUACAACAGGUAAUUGAAUUUCCGUUCAAAACGAAUUAGUUAACACAUUGAUCUUUACUAAAUAAAAAAGAACAAUUAUAUUUUUACACGCAAUCAUAGACGUAAAAUUAGCUGAUAUAAAGAAAUGUACAUUCAAAUAUGAGAUUUUCAUGCGUUUAAGUUACGUAAAAUCCUAUGUUUCUAUUUCAUUUUACAAAUACUAGAUUAAUUAUCCGUGACACGUACGAAAAUUAUGAAUCACGCACGUAUUUAUAAAAUCAUUACUGUAGAUAUAUUUUGAUAAAUUAUAAAGUUAUUAUAGAGCACAAAUAUAGCAUGAAUAGGGGCCAAUUAAAUCUAUAUAUAUUUAUGAAAAACACAAAUAACUACAAUUUUUUUAUGAGUUUAAUUUAUAUGCUUUGUCAGUGCAAAAAAAAAUACAUUAUUAACCAAUUUGAGAUAGAAUGAUAGUGCAAAUUGUUUUAGUCGUGAGUAUAUAUGAUUAUUUAUUCACUAUGUUAUCAAUAUCUAUAAUUGGAUGAAAAAUAAAUAUCAUUUACACAAUCAUUUACAAUUUUAAAAAUCAUUUACAUGGUCCAUAGUUUUAAAUGAUCUAUAAUCAAUGGGUGUUGAAUCUAGCCUAAGGAGUUACUCCGUUAUAACGUAACUAAUGGAGAUUCAAAUUUUGUUGGAGGAAGUAAUUAGCAUCUGAUUGUGAUUCAAAUAAAAUUGUCUCUAAAAAAAUAUACAUGUUGGACACAAAAAAUAAAUGUUAGAUAUAUAAUUAUAUGUUGAAAUGAAUUAGUGACUAACUUCUUGAAAGGAUUAUAUACUAAUGAAAAUAACUUUGCUCAUUUUAAAUUUCAUAUAAUUUGGUGUUGUAAAAUUUUCAUAUAAAGAGUUAUGUGAUUCAAUCACAAAUAUUAUGUACAGUAAAUUGGUUGAUUUUUAUAUAAAAAAAAUCAUAUAAUUUUGAUUGGUUGGUCGUAUGCAAUUUUUUACACUAAGAAUACAUAAAAUUUAACUUUUAAAAUUAUCAAUUUUUGUGAUACUUAUUUUAAAAAUCAUAUAUAAAAUAAUUUUUAAUUACACAGAAAAAAUUACAUUAAUAAUUUAUCAAAACUAAACUAUAAAAAUAUUAUUUAAUGCAUAUGGAUAAUGAUUAACAUAAAAUGAUAGUGACUUUUAACGGAACUUAUUAUAAGAAGAAAAAAAAAUAUUCUUCAAUAUUUUAAAGUAGAAAACUUUUAAUAUAUUUCCAUAAUAUGGCAUUUAAAACUACAUGCUUAAAAAAUUUAAAUCACUUUACUUGGAACCCAAAAUUACUCCCUUAAGAAAUUUAAAUAACUUGUAUGUGAAGUAACACAUGUUAGGAUGCAUUUAGUUGGCAUAACAGCACAUAUUAGGACACAAAUUGGUAGCCACGGUUGAUUUAAGACAACUUACCUGUAAGUGUGUCAUUUUCUGUAAAGUGCCCCUUUAUGAAAUCAUGUGAGCAACCUAUCAUUAGAAGAAGUCAUCAUCAUUCGCCCACAUAUAUUAACAUAUGCCAAGAAAAUAAAUAAAAGAAAACUUAUAAAAAUCCUAAUAAGGAUAAUUGAGAAAUGUGGGCGCAGUGCUAGCAAGAGUCAAAAACCUUGAAAAUCAAAACACACCAAAGAAGAACACAUGUUUUGAUUAAUUUGCCGGCACAGACCUGACCCUUUCAAACCUCUUUCUCGUACAAAGUUCCUUCCCCUGCAAUAUCAAGAAAUUCACUUCAUUAACAACACACACACACUCAUGCCAUGAUUUCUCAAAUUAGCAUGCUUUCCCUUUUCUUCUUCCUCUUCUCCUCUUUUCUAAUCGUUUUCUUCUUCCGCAAAACCUCUGCACUUCACAUCCUCAACCAAUGGUUCCUUUCCUUCGAAAACCGUCUCCACCUUCACCAGUCCUUCAAAAUCCCUCGCUAUAAUCUUCACUCUCUGGACAAUAGCCUCUACCGGAAAAUCCUCACUUACCUCGAUUCUCUUCCCUCCGUUGAAGAUUCCGAUUACACCAACCUCUUCUCCGGCCCCAAUCCCUCCGACAUCUUCCUCCACCUCGACCCUAACCACACCGUU
RNAcentral lists this long non-coding RNA (13057 nucleotides) under Glycine max (soybean). RNAcentral's name for it is "long non-coding RNA (GMAX_LNC000907)". The record is from RNAcentral. Lineage: Eukaryota; Viridiplantae; Streptophyta; Magnoliopsida; Fabales; Fabaceae.